AGAGUUUGAUUCUGGCUCAGAUUGAACGCUGGCGGCAUGCCUUACACAUGCAAGUCGAACGGCAGCACGGGGGCAACCCUGGUGGCGAGUGGCGAACGGGUGAGUAAUACAUCGGAACGUGUCCUGUAGUGGGGGAUAGCCCGGCGAAAGCCGGAUUAAUACCGCAUACGCUCUGCGGAGGAAAGCGGGGGCUCCUUCGGGACCUCGCGCUACAGGGGCGGCCGAUGGCAGAUUAGCUAGUUGGUGGGGUAAAGGCCUACCAAGGCGACGAUCUGUAGCUGGUCUGAGAGGACGACCAGCCACACUGGGACUGAGACACGGCCCAGACUCCUACGGGAGGCAGCAGUGGGGAAUUUUGGACAAUGGGCGCAAGCCUGAUCCAGCAAUGCCGCGUGUGUGAAGAAGGCCUUCGGGUUGUAAAGCACUUUUGUCCGGAAAGAAAACCUCAGCCCUAAUACGGCGGGGGGAUGACGGUACCGGAAGAAUAAGCACCGGCUAACUACGUGCCAGCAGCCGCGGUAAUACAUAGGGUGCAAGCGUUAAUCGGAAUUACUGGGCGUAAAGCGUGCGCAGGCGGUCCGCUAAGACAGAUGUGAAAUCCCCGGGCUUAACCUGGGAACUGCAUUUGUGACUGGCGGGCUAGAGUAUGGCAGAGGGGGGUAGAAUUCCACGUGUAGCAGUGAAAUGCGUAGAGAUGUGGAGGAAUACCGAUGGCGAAGGCAGCCCCCUGGGCCAAUACUGACGCUCAUGCACGAAAGCGUGGGGAGCAAACAGGAUUAGAUACCCUGGUAGUCCACGCCCUAAACGAUGUCAACUAGUUGUCGGGCCUUCAUUGGCUUGGGUAACGUAGCUAACGCGUGAAGUUGACCGCCUGGGGAGUACGGUCGCAAGAUUAAAACUCAAAGGAAUUGACGGGGACCCGCACAAGCGGUGGAUGAUGUGGAUUAAU
Molecule: ribosomal RNA, 949 nt
Filed under: uncultured Burkholderia sp.
Lineage: Bacteria; Pseudomonadati; Pseudomonadota; Betaproteobacteria; Burkholderiales; Burkholderiaceae
Description: bacterial SSU rRNA
Rfam family: Bacterial small subunit ribosomal RNA
Source: RNAcentral